UCCCUGGUGGUCCAAUGGGUAGGACUCCAUGCUUCCACUGCAGGGAGCACAGGUUCAAUCCCUGGUCGGGGAA
RNAcentral lists this transfer RNA (73 nucleotides) under Bos taurus (domestic cattle). It matches the Rfam family "tRNA". From Rfam's summary of the family: Transfer RNA (tRNA) molecules are approximately 80 nucleotides in length. Their secondary structure includes four short double-helical elements and three loops (D, anti-codon, and T loops). Lineage: Eukaryota; Metazoa; Chordata; Mammalia; Artiodactyla; Bovidae. The record is from Rfam by way of RNAcentral. RNAcentral also lists the same sequence under 4 other names.